Amblyraja radiata (thorny skate) is the source of this 68-nucleotide long non-coding RNA. RefSeq lists it as uncharacterized. The record is from RefSeq and is a predicted model, not a curated record. The transcript is spliced from 3 exons. Lineage: Eukaryota; Metazoa; Chordata; Chondrichthyes; Rajiformes; Rajidae.
UUUUCUUCCUUCAAUCCAACUUUGUAUUCAAUUGGCUAGCAAAGCCUGGAUCCUAUGUGAUCUAACCU